RNAcentral lists this transfer RNA (72 nucleotides) under Haemonchus contortus (barber pole worm). Its description in RNAcentral is "tRNA, Pseudo". Lineage: Eukaryota; Metazoa; Nematoda; Chromadorea; Rhabditida; Trichostrongylidae. The record is from RNAcentral.
UUCCCAACCCAGGGAUUGAACCCAGGUCUCCCGCAUUGCAGGCAGAUUCUUUACCAGCUGAGCCACCAGGGA